UAUUUAUAUGUAUAGGUUAUCAUAUAAGGGAUGAGAUGAUAUCAGUUUUAUCGCUCGAGGGACGAUAUCACAAUUGUCACGAGCGAGCGCAGCAAGCGAAGGACAAAUUUAUUGUGAUAUCGUCCCGAGAGCAAUAAAACUGAUAUCACCGAAUCCCGAGUACGAUAACCUAUUUAUUAAUA
Non-coding RNA from Paramuricea clavata, 182 nucleotides. The record is from the annotation of a GenBank genome assembly. NCBI's taxonomy places the organism in Eukaryota, Metazoa, Cnidaria, Anthozoa, Malacalcyonacea, Plexauridae.